UUGGUCAAUGGCCAAACGGCUGAACCAGCAACUUGGAAGAACGAAAAAUGAUUAAGUCAUAUAAAGUUCUGGAUAAAAUAAAGAGAAUGACUAUUUUUUAUCUAUAAGUCUUGACCAAAUUACGUGCCAGCAGUCGCGGUAAUACGUAGAAGACUAGUGUUAUUCAUCUUUAUUCGGUAUAAAGGGUACCUAGACUGAAUGCCAAGCUGUUUUAAGAACUGGUAUUCUAGAGUUUUAUGUAGGAAUAUGCGAAUUACCAGAGGAGAGUCAAAAUUCUAUUAUACUGGUAGGACGGGUAACGGCGAAGGCUAUAUUCUAAGUAAAAACUGACGUUGAGGGACGAAGCCUUGGGCAGCGAUUAGGAUUAGAUACCCUAGUAGUCCUUGGAGACAAAGAUGAGUGCCAUAAACUAGAAUGAUUUAGUUUAUAAACGAAAGUGUAAGCACCCCACCUCAUGACUAAGGCGGAAAUGCACAAAUUGAAAUCAUUAGACCGUUUCUGAAACCAGUAGUGAAGUAUGUUAUUUAAUUCGAUGAUCCGCGAAUAACCUUACCACGUCUUGAAUAAUAUUAUAAAUAUUACAAGUGCUGCACGGCUGUCUUCAGUUAAUGUCGCGAGAUUUUGGUUAAUUCCUUUAAUUAACGAAAACCCUUACUUUACUUGUUUUUAAAGUAUUUUUCCAUAAAGGGAAAAAGAAAAGGGACCAAGACAAGUCAUCAUGGCCUUAAU
This 729-nucleotide ribosomal RNA is filed under the name Capronia munkii. RNAcentral describes it as "SSU rRNA". It matches the Rfam family "Bacterial small subunit ribosomal RNA", at positions 364 to 1205 of the family's 1533-position model. The record is from RNAcentral. Lineage: Eukaryota; Fungi; Ascomycota; Eurotiomycetes; Chaetothyriales; Herpotrichiellaceae.